This is a transfer RNA of Aspergillus oryzae, 83 nucleotides long. It matches the Rfam family "tRNA". From Rfam's summary of the family: Transfer RNA (tRNA) molecules are approximately 80 nucleotides in length. Their secondary structure includes four short double-helical elements and three loops (D, anti-codon, and T loops). The record is from Rfam. Lineage: Eukaryota; Fungi; Ascomycota; Eurotiomycetes; Eurotiales; Aspergillaceae.
GCCCCCGUAGCGCAAUGGUAGCGCGUAAGACUUCUAGCUUCAAAGCUAUCUUAAGGUUGCGAGUUCGAGCCUCGCCGGGGGCU